UAGGGAAUCUUCCGCAAUGGACGCAAGUCUGACGGAGCAACGCCGCGUGAGUGAAGAAGGAUUUCGGUUCGUAAAACUCUGUUGUUAGAGAAGAACAGCGCAUAGAGUAACUGUUAUGCGUGUGACGGUAUCUAACAAGAAAGCCACGGCUAACUACGUGCCAGCAGCCGCGGUAAUACGUAGGUGGCAAGCGUUGUCCGGAUUUAUUGGGCGUAAAGCGAGCGCAGGCGGUCAAUUAAGUCUGAUGUGAAAGCCCCCGGCUCAACCGGGGAGGGUCAUUGGAAACUGGUUGACUGGAGUGCAGAAGAGGAGAGUGGAAUUCCAUGGGAGGCGGUGAAAUGCGUAGAUAGAUGGAGGAACACCAGUGGCGAAGGCGACUCUCUGGUCUGUAACUGACGCGGAGGCUCGAAAGCGUGGGUAGCAAACAGG
This 429-nucleotide ribosomal RNA is filed under the name Bacteroidota bacterium. RNAcentral's name for it is "Bacteroidetes bacterium partial 16S ribosomal RNA". It matches the Rfam family "Bacterial small subunit ribosomal RNA", at positions 355 to 776 of the family's 1533-position model. The record is from RNAcentral. Lineage: Bacteria; Pseudomonadati; Bacteroidota.